UUUUUCUUUCAAAACUGUAGGUUACGGUGGAAGACAUGAUGUGCUGAUCUUAAAUAUAAAAAUGCAGCCCUGGUGAAUUAAGUCACAGUCCCUGUCAUCUCAACCCACUUCUGUCCCCGGGAUGGCAAAGAUGGUGCAACAGAAGACCAGUGAGAGACAUGAUAGCACACAAACAAACGAAAAAGACAAAUAAGACAGCGUUAACAAUGAUGACAGCAAGACAAAUAUUCAAGCAAGCAAAACCCCCAAAACAAACAGCGCUGUCCACAUACAUGUCCAGCUGUCCAGGACCAGCACAAGAAAAGGUCUGUCACUAUGUAUAUAUUAGAAGUUAAUUAAUACAACUUUUACAGUGCAAUAAAAACACAAACAUUUCUUGGUUCCAUCACAGCCAUGAGACUCCAUGUGUUUUCAUUUCAGGUCAUUUAAAACACAGUGUGCUCAUAAUAGAUGUCUGUUAUUAUAGCCAAAGCAGGAGUCACACAUUUACAUGCACAUAAAUAUACUUAUGAAUGUAAAUGUGCUGCUCAAUGUCACUUCACUUGGUGUUGGAUGUUUGACCUUCACUAAGCAGAGUGACUUACUGUGUGUGCAGUGGCAGAAUGUAACUAAGUACAUUUACUAAAGUGCUCUACUUAAAGACUAUUUUGAGGCACUUAGACUUCACUUGAGCACUUCCAUUUUCUGCUACCUAACACCUCUACUCCAUUGCAUUUCUGAGGCAAAUUAUUACACUUUUUGCUCACCACACUACUCCAUUACUUUACCAAAGUAGCACAUUUUAAAUGAAUUUAAUUUACUUGCGAUCAGAUUAAACAGAUUGAGCACUAAUUCAGGUCAUCGGCAAAAUGCUGAAUAUCAGAUCCCAUUACUUACAGGUGGUUUAUGCAUGCAUGUAACCUAUUGUGCAACUUACUGCUACUUGUACUUUUGAUCUAAUUCAUCACGACUUUACUCAAGUAUUAUUUGUACGGGUGGGCAAAGUAAUAUUUUAACAAAACACUUUCUUUUUUCAAUUUACCUGUGUAUGUGUGUAGUUUGACACUAUAGGCAGUUUUCAAAAUCAUCUGCUAAAUGUUCAAAGUUUCCCCAACCUAAAAUCUGGGUUUAAGACCUGUACGUAC
Molecule: long non-coding RNA, 1124 nt
Organism: Acanthopagrus latus (yellowfin seabream)
Lineage: Eukaryota; Metazoa; Chordata; Actinopteri; Spariformes; Sparidae
Exons: 3
Source: RefSeq, a predicted model, not a curated record